Molecule: long non-coding RNA, 858 nt
Organism: Bombyx mori (domestic silkworm)
Lineage: Eukaryota; Metazoa; Arthropoda; Insecta; Lepidoptera; Bombycidae
Exons: 2
Source: RefSeq, a predicted model, not a curated record
AAAUAAAAGCUUAUAAAUUUUUGUAAAGAGUCUCAAAUUUUAUUGAACGUAUAUUUAGUUUCAAAGUAUUUCUAUAUUAUAAACAAAAAGCGUUUUUUUUUUAUUUCAAAAUCAUUUUAGUACUUGCUGGGUUUUUUCUCGUCUAGGGACUCAAAGUUGACGCCCUAAAGCAAAGUAAAAGCUAUCUUAAAAUAGAGUCUGAAGUAUAAUAAUGGAGUUAGAAUUGACUUUACUUUGAAAAUAUAAGAUUUUAACUCGAUCAAGACCAUCCGAAGGCAAGGAAAAGUUUUAUUAUCUGUUGACUAGAAGUUUCUGUACUCGGUCAUUUCUGCAAACUGUCGACUUGUGGAAUGAAUUGUGACAGAUUUGGCACUAUAAGAAGCACGCUAAAACAUUUAAGCGGUAGAAACGACAUAUUAAAGUGGAGAGGUUCAAACUGAAUGGAACAUGCAGAUUUGUCUCGUAAUUUCGUUCGUAAGCCUUUACGUCAGUUUUCAUAAUUUGAUUGCAACAAAGUUACAUGAUGCGUUCAAAUUUUGUAACGAGAUGGCUAUUCAGUCGCAGAUGAAGUUACUAUUAUUUUAUAGUUCUGUGAUGGGCGCUGUAAAUUGUUUAGUGCCAUUAAAGCCCGGGAUACAUCCGUGCAUAUUUUAUAAUGUAAUUAAAUUUGAUUGUUAUGUUGCACGGAUGCUACAGGCAUAUUUCGAAAAGUCCAUUCAAUGCUUUAACGUGUGUUCAUUCAAACGUAUUAAUUCGUAUAUUCGUUGAUUACACAUAAUUACUAAAGGUUACAUGUUCUUAUCUAUCAUUUAUAAUAGUUAAAUUUGAUAGUAAUAAAUAAUAAUUUAAUAAAAAAAA